Molecule: transfer RNA, 74 nt
Filed under: Levilactobacillus phage ENFP1
Lineage: Duplodnaviria; Heunggongvirae; Uroviricota; Caudoviricetes; Herelleviridae
Rfam family: tRNA
About the family: Transfer RNA (tRNA) molecules are approximately 80 nucleotides in length. Their secondary structure includes four short double-helical elements and three loops (D, anti-codon, and T loops). Further hydrogen bonds mediate the characteristic L-shaped molecular structure. tRNAs have two regions of fundamental functional importance: the anti-codon, which is responsible for specific mRNA codon recognition, and the 3' end, to which the tRNAs corresponding amino acid is attached (by aminoacyl-tRNA synthetases). tRNAs cope with the degeneracy of the genetic code in two manners: having more than one tRNA (with a specific anti-codon) for a particular amino acid; and 'wobble' base-pairing, i.e. permitting non-standard base-pairing at the 3rd anti-codon position.
Source: Rfam by way of RNAcentral
GCUCCAGUAGCUCAGUUGGUUAGAGCAUCGGUUUUGUAAACCGAAGGUCGCAGGUUCGAGUCCUGUCAGGAGCA